Molecule: long non-coding RNA, 1426 nt
Organism: Cercocebus atys (sooty mangabey)
Lineage: Eukaryota; Metazoa; Chordata; Mammalia; Primates; Cercopithecidae
Exons: 3
Source: RefSeq, a predicted model, not a curated record
GUGGGGCUGCAGGCCUUCGUAGCCAGGCAGGGACAGUGCCCUGGGCAGCCAGGAAAGAGCUGCAGAAAAUGGAUAGGGCUGGUGGAACCAGGGAGCUGGGACCCCUCCCGCAACACCGUAUUUCCCAGUCUAAGCCUUGUGACAUCUUUCUUCCCUCUCCCUACUGUCUACCAGAGCUUGCCCCCUCCCAGUGCCCAGGAGCACAGGUUCCCAUGCCAGCUCGUCUGCAUAAAGGGAUUGUGUUUAUAGUCAAAGUGGGCUGCUGCCCACUCAGAAGCUGCCCACUCGAAGGCAGCACAUGUGACUGCACCCCCUGCCCAGAGCCCAAGUGGGACCGAUGCCAAUGUCUGGCUGGAGACAUUUCUAAAUAUGAGCUUGGCACAAAGAGUCAGGUUCCCAGGCCUUCUCUGCCACAGGAGACCCAGCCAGGAUUUUCGAGGCUGCCAGGAGGGACAGGGCUGGGGCAGGCAGGAUCGGGAGGCAGCCAGCUGAGACAGCCAUCGUCCCUGGAAACAUCACCCGAACCCCUCCCCGGCCCUCCAGCCUUGUUAGGGGAAGAGAAAGGAUAAGCCUGCACCUAGAGAGUCUAAUCAAUUCCCCACAACCCUUGGCAGGAGGGACGGGAAAGCCACUGCCUGCUCAAAUGUGUAUGGAUUAAAAAUAUACAAAUGGAAUAUUUUUUUUCUUCCCCUCUCCUCAACCCCCUGAAGCCUAGGAUGCUUGUUAAAAAUAGCCUUGCUGUGGCAUGGAUCCUACACAACCCAACGGCUGGCAGGCAAAUGAAGGAGCCAUUGGAGACAGCACUGUUAAGUGGCUACCCCUGGGGAGUGGAAUGGGGAGGGCCGGGAGGGAGGGAGGUGCUUUCAAGUGUUUCCGGACACACUUCUACACUGCCUGGAUUUUUAACAGCAAGCAGAUAUAAAAUAAGUUGAUUGUUUUUUACUGGAGUUUCAUCCUUUGCAUCCUCCAGCCUACGCUUAAGGCUGAAUUCAUACUGACUGAGUGACCCGACAGUACUUGCUGGCUGGCCUGGCAGUGCUCCAAGGAGACCCAGGACGCUCAGGCCACCGGGUACAAACACAGCCCAGCAUCGAGCAAACAGCAUUGAAUCAGUCAGUCUUGGAUCUGUAACCAGCUGGCUGUGUGACCUUAGCCCACACUCUGGAGGCCACAUUGCUGGCUGGUUAAGAAGUGUGGACUCUGAAAUCAGGAGAGUUUGCUUGCAGACUGGUCUCUGGAUAGGUGGAGUGUUACUGGUUGGCUGCUUCCUUCUGUCUCAGUGGCUGGUUUCCCCCGUGCGGGGCUAACAGAUCAUCAGAGGAGCUGACCAAGCAUGGAGGCCAGAUGCGAAAGUGAGAUCAGAUUUAGAAUUUCAUUCCAACUCUACAUCCCUAGCAUCAUCCUUUUCUUUUUUCCUUUUUUUUUU